UAGCAUAUAACUUAGUGCUGCUGAUGGUGU
This 30-nucleotide non-coding RNA is filed under the name Rattus norvegicus (Norway rat). Lineage: Eukaryota; Metazoa; Chordata; Mammalia; Rodentia; Muridae. The record is from RNAcentral.